UACGUAGGGGGCAAGCGUUGUCCGGAAUUAUUGGGCGUAAAGCGCGCGCAGGCGGUGAGUAAAGUCUGGUGUUUAAACUUGAGGCUCAACCUCAAGGCGCAUUGGAAACUGGCUGACUGGAGUGUAGGAGAGGAAAGUGGAAUUCCACGUGUAGCGGUGAAAUGCGUAGAGAUGUGGAGGAACACCAGUGGCGAAGGCGACUUUCUGGCCUAUAACUGACGCUGAGGCGCGAAAGCGUGGGGAGCAAACAGG
This 252-nucleotide ribosomal RNA is filed under the name uncultured bacterium. Its description in RNAcentral is "partial 16S ribosomal RNA". It matches the Rfam family "Bacterial small subunit ribosomal RNA", at positions 524 to 776 of the family's 1533-position model. The record is from RNAcentral.